Chenopodium quinoa (quinoa) is the source of this 529-nucleotide long non-coding RNA. RefSeq lists it as uncharacterized. Lineage: Eukaryota; Viridiplantae; Streptophyta; Magnoliopsida; Caryophyllales; Amaranthaceae. The transcript has 2 exons. The record is from RefSeq and is a predicted model, not a curated record.
UUUUUUUUAAAAAAAAUUUUGGCCUUUUAAUUUCAGUGCAGCGUCUUUUUUUAAAUACGGAGUACAAUUAUUUUUUCCCUUUUUGGCUGUUACAAGUAUUUCUUUUCCUCUAUUGCUCUUCAUUUGUUUCUUAAAUACGGAAUACUUAAUUCUUCAUUCCCAUUUCCUAUAUCUCAAGAAGCCUAAACUCCAUAAUCAUUUUCGCAUUUGCUCUGCAUAUAAGAUUCAAGGAAAAGGCAUGCAACAACUCCAAUAGACAUUAUAGCACACAAAUCUGUUAACCAAUAUGAACUACAUUAGCCUUCUAUUACUUCAAUUUAAAGUUGUAAUAUUAAUUUGUCUUUGUAGAUAUUAUCAGUCAUACUCUAUUAUUUAAGUUGUCUGCACUAAAUAUAAAUACUCUAGCCAAGUACUAUUUUAUUGAAUAAAUGGAAAUAGCCAAAUAGGGAAUAUUGUAUUUUCUGCUAAUUUUGUCAUUGUAUAUCUAUCAUUAGUAAUGCAUAAAUAUUAUGAUCAAAAUGAUCACCAA